This 81-nucleotide small nucleolar RNA is filed under the name Petasospora fabianii. Lineage: Eukaryota; Fungi; Ascomycota; Saccharomycetes; Phaffomycetales; Wickerhamomycetaceae. The record is from RNAcentral.
UUUAGUGAUGAAAUUUUCCAUACUUUGUCCCGGUGAGUUCAUACAUGAGCCAUGGAUAAAAACAUGCAUCACCAUCUGAAC